This 1461-nucleotide long non-coding RNA is filed under the name Spirodela polyrhiza (greater duckweed). RNAcentral describes it as "long non-coding RNA (SPOL_LNC001387)". Lineage: Eukaryota; Viridiplantae; Streptophyta; Magnoliopsida; Alismatales; Araceae. The record is from RNAcentral.
UUGGGGCGCAGGUGAGGACGGCCUCUCCGACGGUGAGGAAGAUCUUGUCGUGGCCGAUGAGCUCUAUCAGCCUUGACGCAUGCAGCUUCUCCAUCACCGGCUCCCCCGGGUUCGCCAGAGCCAGCUGCACCACAGCGCAUCACAACCCUGUAAGUCCCCCCAGUCUCAAGCAUCUGCUUCAUUCCAACCGCAUAAUCAGAUCGAAUCCCCAUUCCCCCCCCGCCCCCAUCCUAUAUUUAGAAAGCUAUCGUGGCUCCGUUCAUCUGAGCCGCCCAAGAACACGGGUCAGUCCCCAAAUGAGAAUAUAGUCGCCUCAGGGUCAACUACCUGAACACCCCUCUUCUGUAGGGCCUUGUGCAGAUCCUCCAGGGCGUGGAUGCCGCUGGUGUCUAUGUUGAUGACCGCUGGUAGAAGAGCAAGGGAAAAUAGAGGAAAUCAGAAGAGAUUAGCGUCAAAAGCAAACCCAUCUAAUUACCGUAUUAAGAAGGAAAUUAGAUCGAGUGGGAUCAAAAAUUUGCAUCCGAUAUAGUUAGCAUUCAAUGCGGGGAUUACUCACGAGACAUCUCCACGAUCACAAAUUCUAUCUUUGGCAGCUGAUUCUCCUCCAGCCUCUCUUGCUCGUCAGUCAGCCACCUCAGUAUCCUGCAAAAUACAACGUCCCAAUUUUAGUAACACGGCACCUCAAUCACGGUCCAUCCAAUGAGCUUUAAUGGCCGCCCAGUCUUGGUGGGCUCGAUCGAGUUAAUUCCAUAAAAGGCAUAUAUACAUGUUUUUCUCUGCUAUAUUAUUUUUGUUUCCCAUAUCUAUCCGUUCAUUUUGCUGCAUCUUCUGUUUUUUUGUGUUUGUUUAUCCUGAUUAGUCAAAGCCUGCGGUGAAUCUCUUACCUCUCCUUCACGUAGUUUGAGUUGGAAAAAUAGAUCGCCGAGUCAACUCGCACGAUCAUCACCCCAGGCACCCUCGUCGCCUCUGGGUACUGGUCAACGUUCCUAUAUAUGGUAGUUCCAGGGAGGUUCCCAAGGAGGGCGGUCCUCGGUCUCGUCACUUGCAGCAGAAUCUUCGCAAAUGAUAUGACCACCUAUUUAGAAAAGAAAAAAGACAAACAAACAAGGGAAAAAAAACCUAGAUCUGUCAGUGCCCGGCCACAAAUUUCUAACCCAGAUUAGAAAAAUAUUUAGAAUCCAAAAAAAUUUCAAAAAUUUUUUUUUUUCUCACAGAUAUUAGGAGCCCGAUUUCAACGGACACAAAUACUACUCCGAAGAACGCUCCCAUGCAGGCCAUGAAAUCAAACUUAUCGAUCUUCCAAAUUAGCAGGGCGGCGUCAAAGUCGAUCAGCCCAAUCACCGCCGAUAUGAUGAUCGAAGAGAGGACGGCGUUUGGGGUGUACUUGAAGAGGGGAGUGAUCACUUCCAGGGUCAGGAACACAACCAAGGACAUGAUCAUAUUGGAGACCGCCGUCUGGCA